Molecule: small nucleolar RNA, 132 nt
Organism: Grammomys surdaster
Lineage: Eukaryota; Metazoa; Chordata; Mammalia; Rodentia; Muridae
Product: small nucleolar RNA SNORA17
Exons: 1
Source: RefSeq, a predicted model, not a curated record
CCUGACCCUGGAGGCAUUGCAGAUGUGACUGCUGUGUCACAUGUGUGUCAGUGGGUGGCAGAUAGGGGAGGGGCUAUGUCUAAGCUCAGUGUUCUGACCUAUAGACAUCUGAAUAGUUAGUAGCCUAACAUU